AAGUCUGCUGUCAAAGGUCGGGGCUUAACUCCGGAAAGGCAGUGGAAACUGAGGAGCUAGAGUGCGGUAGGGGUAGAGGGAAUUCCCGGUGUAUCGGUGAAAUGCGUAGAGAUCGGGAAGAACAUCGGUGGCGAAAGCGCUCUACUGGGCCGCAACUGACACUCAGGGACGAAAGCUAGGGGAGCGAAUGGGAUUAGAUACCCCAGUAGUCCUAGCUGUAAACGAUGGAUACUAGGUGUAGCUUGUAUCGACCCGAGCUGUGCCGAAGCUAACGCGUUAAGUAUCCCGCCUGGGGAGUACGCACGCAAGUGUGAAACUCAAAGGAAUUGACGGGGGCCCGCACAAGCGGUGGAGUAUGUGGUUUAAUUCGAUGCAACGCGAAGAACCUUACCCAGGUUUGACAUGUGGCUGCAAGCGCACAGAAAUGUGUGACCUUCGAGGGUGCCACACAGGUGCUGCAUGGCUGUCGUCAGCUCGUGUCGUGAGAUGUUGGGUUAAGUCCCGCAACGAGCGCAACCC
Molecule: ribosomal RNA, 519 nt
Filed under: uncultured cyanobacterium
Lineage: Bacteria; Bacillati; Cyanobacteriota
Description: bacterial SSU rRNA
Rfam family: Bacterial small subunit ribosomal RNA
Source: RNAcentral